GCUGAGAGGGCUGUUCUGCUUGAUCUGGCUGAUUUCGAUCUGGCCAUUUCCAUUCUUGGGUUUGAGGCCUGGCUCUCCUAUGCCCCCUCAGGGUAUGGGCCCCUCUUCACCUCCCCCUGCCCUAGAGUCAUGGGGCUGCUAGAGGCACUGGCACAGCCAGGACUGGCACCUUGUUCCCUACCUGAUACUAGGACACCCUAGGCCUGCUCAGACUUAUGUCAGAGACAGAUCUGUCACCUGUGUGUGGUCCUAUGUCCAGAAUAUUUCAUCAUUUGCCAAGCAGAGCUGCAGGUGCUACGGACAAGGACAGGGUAAUGUAAAACUGGAUGUUCCCUGCAUCAUGGAGCCCUAGAGUGCCUGGGCUGCAGGCAUGGGGGAGGUUUGGUGUCCCCCUUCACUAGACACUGUCUCCUGCCCUGCCCACAGGAUGCAGCAGGGUGUGGGGACACUUGUCCCCCUGUGAGCCUCUUGUGACUCCUGUGCUUGUCAAUUCCCAGCAGCAUGCAGGCAGGGACCUGGAUAGCAUGGGAAGAGUCCACAGCCUAUGCAUCCCUGGCUAGAAUGGGCCAUGGUGGCCCAGUGAGAGACUGGAGCAGGGCUGGUUCUACUCCCCCCAGGCCCCCAGGCGAGAGGAUGUGGUGGAGGAGGAGCAUGUCCCAGCUGGGAUGCAGGAGCUGUGCAGCCAGCAGGCAGGAGACCCUCAGAAACCCAGUGCUCAGGGUGAGUCCCCACAAAUGUCCGUGGCAGAAUCCUAUGUGGGUUGUGUGCCUGGGGCCAGAGCUGUGCCUGGCCAGAUGCAGGACGAUGGAGAGCAAUACUAUCUCACAAAGGUGGGCAGGGUAACCGGGUGCCUGGAGGGGCUGCAGGGUCCAUUGCAGGCAACUGCAGGCUCCCUGAACAGUCUCUUUUCAUCCACAGCUGUGGUUUCAGGGACCCUCAUGCUCCUGGAGCUGCAGCCAGCCUCAGAGCCCAGUCCAGAGCCUGAGGAUGGUGGUGAGGACCUGCAGCAGGGUCUGCCCCUGGGGCAGCCCCCAGCAGCCUGGAAAGAAGGGAACCUGGGCAGCCCUGCCAGCGCCCCAGAGCCCAGUGUGGCACAAAGCCCCAGAGGGGAGCAACUCACCCUGGGCCAGCCCAGUGCUGGCAGCCAGCUUCAUGUUGGGGUGCACUGCCAGGUGCUGGGGCCAGGUGGGAGACACGCAAGGCCAUCAGUGGGUAAGUGUAGCCCUGAGGGGGGGGGUGACAGGAGAGCUGUGGCCCCUUGCCAGCUGGGCGGUGCCACCCCAAAGCCCCCCCACUCCCCUGUCCUGCAGCAUCCCAGGCAGCCCUGGG
Molecule: long non-coding RNA, 1329 nt
Filed under: Lonchura striata (white-rumped munia)
Lineage: Eukaryota; Metazoa; Chordata; Aves; Passeriformes; Estrildidae
Description: domestica (Bengalese finch) lncRNA (ENSLSDG00000010478.1)
Source: RNAcentral